UACCCCGAAACCAGACGAGCUACCUACGAGCAGUUUAAAGAACCCACUCAUCUAUGUGGCAAAAUAGUGAGAAGACUUAUAGGUAGAGGUGAAAAGCCUAACGAGCCUGGUGAUAGCUGGUUGUCCAAGAAAUGAAUCUAAGUUCAACUUGAAGCAUACCCAAAAGCCCAAAAACUAUAAUGUAGGCUUCAAGUAUAGUCUAAAAAGGUACAGCUUUUUAGAAACAGAAUUAAAUCUUAAUUAGUGAGUAAACAAUACAACAACCAUAGUUGGCCUAAAAGCAGCCAUCAAUUAAGAAAGCGUA
This 304-nucleotide ribosomal RNA is filed under the name Manis javanica (Malayan pangolin). RNAcentral describes it as "partial 16S ribosomal RNA". It matches the Rfam family "Bacterial large subunit ribosomal RNA", at positions 711 to 1136 of the family's 2925-position model. Lineage: Eukaryota; Metazoa; Chordata; Mammalia; Pholidota; Manidae. The record is from RNAcentral.